GCGUGUGGCACCAGUGAGCCUGUACAUGCAGUAGCUGAUUCCACAAACACAGCGCAGCUCCAAGACACUGUAGAUUGUGCAGAUGAAGGACCACUCACAAUGCCUGCAGCAAGUGAGACUGCUGCUCCCUCUGAAGAGAAAAAUGCUGCUCAAUCCCACAAUUCCCGAAGAGCUCCCAAAAACAUGUGGUCCAAGGCUGAGGUUGCUGCAGUGAUGAGGCAUUUUAAAGACCACAUAAACGAAGGGAAACUAGCCACCAAAAAUGAAUGCAGUCAUUGCAAA
Maylandia zebra (zebra mbuna) is the source of this 282-nucleotide non-coding RNA. The record is from RefSeq and is a predicted model, not a curated record. Lineage: Eukaryota; Metazoa; Chordata; Actinopteri; Cichliformes; Cichlidae.